CCUACGGGUGGCAGCAGUGGGGGAUAUUGCACAAUGGAGGGAACUCUGAUGCAGCGACGCCGCGUGAGGGAAGAAGGUUCUCGGAUUGGAAAACUCCGUUUUCGGUGACGAAACGAGACGGACGCCGAGGAGGAAGCCACGGCUAACUACGUGCGAGCAGCCGAGGUAAUACGCAGCGGGCGCGCGUUGUCCGGAUUUACGGGGUUUAACGGGAGCGUAGGCGGUAAAGCAAGUUGAAUGUUAAAGCUACGGGCUCAACCUGUACAAGCAUUUGAAACCGUUGGUCUUGAGUUGAGUAGAGGUAGGCGGAAUUCGUGGUGUAGCGGUGAAAUGCUUAGAUAUUACGAGGAACCCCGAUGGCGAAGGCAGCUUACUGGGCUUUAACUGACGCUGAGGCUCGAAAGUGUGGGUAUCAAACAGGAUUAGAUACCCCAGUAGUC
RNAcentral lists this ribosomal RNA (440 nucleotides) under uncultured bacterium. RNAcentral describes it as "partial 16S ribosomal RNA". It matches the Rfam family "Bacterial small subunit ribosomal RNA", at positions 338 to 795 of the family's 1533-position model. The record is from RNAcentral.